CUACUGGGGUAUCUAAUCCUGUUUGCUACCCACGCUUUCGCGCUUCAGCGUCAGUAUCUGUCCAGUAAGCUGGCUUCCCCAUCGGCAUUCCUACAAAUAUCUACGAAUUUCACCUCUACACUUGUAGUUCCGCUUACCUCUCCAGUACUCUAGUUACACAGUUUCCAACGCAAUACAGAGUUGAGCCCUGCAUUUUCACAUCAGACUUACAUAACCACCUAGACGCGCUUUACGCCCAAUAAAUCCGGAUAACGCUUGUGACAUACGUAUUACCGCGGCUGCUGGCAC
Molecule: ribosomal RNA, 288 nt
Filed under: uncultured Fusobacterium sp.
Lineage: Bacteria; Fusobacteriati; Fusobacteriota; Fusobacteriia; Fusobacteriales; Fusobacteriaceae
Description: partial 16S ribosomal RNA
Source: RNAcentral